RNAcentral lists this ribosomal RNA (431 nucleotides) under uncultured bacterium. RNAcentral's name for it is "partial 16S ribosomal RNA". It matches the Rfam family "Bacterial small subunit ribosomal RNA", at positions 29 to 507 of the family's 1533-position model. The record is from RNAcentral.
AACGAACGCUGGCGGCAGGCUUAACACAUGCAAGUCGAACGCCCCGCCAGGGGAGUGGCGGCCGGGUGAGUAACGCGUGGGAAUCUACCCUGAACUGCGGGAUAGCUCCGGGAAACUGGAAUUAAUACCGCAUGUGCCCUGAGGGGCAAAGAUUUAUCGGUUCAGGAUGAGCCCGCGUGCGAUUAGCUAGUUGGUGGGGUAAAGGCCUACCAAGGCGACGAUCGGUAGCUGGGCAAAGAGGAUGAUCAGCCACAUUGGGACUGAGACACGGCCCAAACUCCUACGCGAGGCAGCAGUGGGGAAUAUUGGACAAUGGGCGCAAGCCUGAUCCAGCCAGGGCGGGUGAGUGAUGAAGGCGCUAGGGUUGUAAAGCUCUUUCACCGGGGACGAUACUGACGGUACCCGGAGAAGAAGCCCCGGCUAACUUCGUG